AUUGAACGCUGGCGGCAUGCUUUACACAUGCAAGUCGAACGGUAGACCCUUUCGGGGGUUGAGAGUGGCGAACGGGUGAGUAAUGCAUCGGAACGUACCCAGUCGUGGGGGAUAACGUAGCGAAAGUUACGCUAAUACCGCAUACGUCCUGAGGGAGAAAGCGGGGGACCGUAAGGCCUCGCGCGAUUGGAGCGGCCGAUGUCAGAUUAGCUAGUUGGUGGGGUAAAGGCCUACCAAGGCGACGAUCUGUAGCGGGUCUGAGAGGAUGAUCCGCCACACUGGGACUGAGACACGGCCCAGACUCCUACGGGAGGCAG
RNAcentral lists this ribosomal RNA (317 nucleotides) under uncultured Pseudomonadota bacterium. Its description in RNAcentral is "bacterial SSU rRNA". It matches the Rfam family "Bacterial small subunit ribosomal RNA", at positions 30 to 351 of the family's 1533-position model. The record is from RNAcentral. Lineage: Bacteria; Pseudomonadati; Pseudomonadota.